GAUCAGCCAUAUCCUGUAGUCUAGGAUGUGCUUUCAGCACGUUGGUACACUGAUAAGCAGGUGCUUUCAUUCCUUCUGCCUCUUGCAACAUGGCGCGCCUAGCACCCAUCAUUGUUUCUCUUUUUGCCAUCGCCGUGGUGUUCUCACAAGAAUCAUCAAAAUUUACAGCAUCAAUGACAGAAUCAACAAAAUCUACAUCAACGACAGAAUCCCCAAAAUCCACAGCAUCAACGACAGAAUCAACAAAAUCCACAGCAUCAACAAUGGAAUCAACAAAAUCCACAGCAUCAAUGACAGAAUCCCCAAAAUCCACAGCAUCAACGACAGAAUCAACAAAAUCCACAGCAUCAACAAUGGAAUCAACAAAAUCCACAGCAUCAAUGACAGAAUCCCCAAAAUCCACAGCAUCAACGACAGAAUCAACAAAAUCCACAGCAUCAACAAUGGAAUCAACAAAAUCCACAGCAUCAAUGACAAAAUCCCCCAAAUCCACAGCAUCAACAAGAGAAUCUGUCAUAUCUUUAACGACCAUGGUAUCAUCAACACCACAGGAAAUUAUUGAGAUAUCUCACACCUCUGGUGUGACUGAGAAGCCCAUCACCAGCGCAAACCACACAGACAACACCACUGCCACCGGUUCAACACUUCCUACAGCCACACAGACCUCCAGUGCCACCCACAGCACCUCAGUGCUGGUUACUAACAGCAGUAGCCUGCCCACCGCCCCCAAAACUCCAGGAGCCAACAUCACACCCUCCAGCACAGUUCAGAAUUUGAAUGGAAGCGAAUCUCUGGCCAAUAACCCAGGCCUGGUGGCUGUGCUGUGUAUUUUUGUCAUCAUACUGAUCCUGCUGCUGGGUGUCGGUGUUGCUAAGGCUAUAAGAUCCAGAGGGCCGAAGUUUGAAAGGUUGGACAAUUUGCCAAUGGGCAAGAUGAAUGAAGAAUCCCCUUUUGCACAUUACCCUCCAAAAUAAGAAAGUUUUCUCAGUCUGCCCAUUAAAAUCUGUAAGAACAUGUUUGUUUGUCUCAGAAGCCAGACAUUAGAUAAUUUUUUUAUUUAUGAUUAGGGUCAUUUUAAUCUUUCUUUAAAUGAAGGACUAUAUUUUAUUACAUUUGAAACAAAACUAUGCAAUAAGAAUUCCUGUCAAGUUACAGUAAAUUUACUGGUGCGCACUCAAACUGACCUGCUGGUUCAUAGCUACAUAUAGCUUUAAGAGCUAUACAUUACACAUUACCCAUUUACUCCAAGUGAGUAGCUGCAGAUUUAUUUAUAUAAAAAAAGAAUUGUUAUUUUAAUAAUUAUUUAAUUCAUAUUUCACUAUUUUAGUGAAAGUCAGGGAAAGGCACAUAUUAAUGCAAUUCAGUUCUCACCAUCCCAAAACAAGUAAUUUGUCCUUUCAAAAACUCAAUUGGACACAGGCCAUUAACUGCUCUCCCAGAGUGCCUCUCCUUCAGAAAUGAUUAACUGUGUCUUAAUGCAGCCACGUGCUUCAUUUCAUACCUGCUGAGAUAAGGGCCGGAUCCUCAUUAGCCAUGCUCCCAUUACGGGAGACCUGGGCAAUGUUGUUCAAUUCAGCAAUAAAUUGUGUUAUGAAAAAACCCAUUGAGACUUAGUCUAGUUUUUGGUCCUGCGUUGGUCAAAAUGCCUACCAAUCCAAAAACACAGUGGGCCUCAUUUAUCAGUAUAUUUGGGUGUAAAAAUCAUAGAACCAAGUUCCACGUCUGAUUCAUAAAACAGGUGCACCCAUGCCGAUCCGUGCUUAGCGCCAUGGACAUAAGGGUGGUUAAGGGUGUCAUGACCCUCGCAAAAAUCAGAUCCAACCAAUAUGACCAGCGGUGGUUUUUGAUACAGUCGACAUUGGUUGUUGCCCAGGGCAGCAUCAUGGUGGGGGUGGCAUUACGGGCAUCUGCAUUUUAUUUUUUUUGCAUGUGCACCCAUGCUGCCCUAUAGCUGCCCUUACAGCUAGGAAAUCUGUUUCAGAAAUAAAGAAUGUUUUAAAUCUGCAUAUGGUGAUGAUCUCUGUGCCCUCUCAACAUCCUGAACUAAGUGUUACCUGUCUGGCCCAACACUGUUUUCACUGAUGAAUGGCAUUUUCUUACAAAACUGGGCCACUGAAAACUCACUUGUUAACGGUAAAAUAGGGUGUGUAGAAAUAGUAUCAAUUAAUAACUUUAUGGCCCAAAACAUUUUUCAUUGUAAAAUUGACCUGGGAACUUUGCUCAUGUGCCAAUAGAUUUAUGAUGAAUAUGGACAUUUCAGUGUAAAACUAAUAGUUUUGCAGCCUGCAGUAUUUAAGCUGGAACAGACAAUUCGAAUGAGGAGCUGUGAAUACUGUGUGAUACAGGAGCUGUGUUGUUACUGAUGUGCAGAAAUAACAUCAAUGGAAGAUGGACAAGAAAAGGUCAAAGCCCUUUAUAUGUUUAAAUGGUUAAAUUAAGUAUAGCAGUAUGGCAUACAGUGUUAUUAUUAUAUUAUAAACAAUGUUUUUACGCAACAGUUUUAGAAAAUGGUGAUCAAUGGCCACAAUGCCGUACAAUCAACCU
This is a long non-coding RNA of Denticeps clupeoides (denticle herring), 2544 nucleotides long. The record is from Ensembl. NCBI's taxonomy places the organism in Eukaryota, Metazoa, Chordata, Actinopteri, Clupeiformes, Denticipitidae.